Cuculus canorus (common cuckoo) is the source of this 2932-nucleotide long non-coding RNA. RefSeq lists it as uncharacterized. The record is from RefSeq and is a predicted model, not a curated record. The transcript has 4 exons. Lineage: Eukaryota; Metazoa; Chordata; Aves; Cuculiformes; Cuculidae.
AGUUAGAGAACAAAGUGCUGUCAGAAUCCCAGAAUAGAUUAACUGCCAUUAUUGCCAGAGUGCGCACUGGACAACUCAGCAUUGAGUGACUAAUAAUUCCAGGGGCCUGGGGAAGCAGUGAAAGCUGGAGUCUUCCCCUUGAGAGGCUGUAUAGACCUUACAGAUAGCUCUGGGAACUGCGUCUGCCAACGGCAAUCCUGACGGAAGGGCUCCUUGUAGGAUUCGUUCUCAAUUUUCAGCUCCAUUUAACAGCAGCUCUGAGGACUCCGUGCUAUUCAGCUUUAUUUGGAAGCCCAGCAAACUGGCAGACCCUGUUGCAGCCAGGAUGGAAUUGGGAAGCAGAGAAUACCAAAGCAAAUCUGUGGCUUAAUCUUUCAGGAAAAGUGUCUUCACAUUUUGAAAUCUACCAUGUCAGGACAGUGGAUCACUUCUAGGAUAGUGGGUCUCCAGGCACCUUGUGCUGAACCUGGAAAGAAGAGGAAACAAUUAAAAGGAAACAGAGAGCACUGGGAAAGAACAGUCUUGACCAAAUAGAGGCUGGAAAUUUCAAAAAAGUUUGGGGGAAACACUGAGAAUUUCCAACAUUGAUGUUCAACCUCUGAAGUUUUCCCUUGUCUAACAUCUGUGAAUAUAACAGCAAGUGAUGUUUGUUUUUAGGGAACAGAUUUGCUUUGGGAAAAACGCUCUGAGAAACAGGAAGAAGCACUGAUUUGUUUAGUAAAUUUUGAAGAGAAGAAAUAGUCUGUCUUUUCCUACCUAGGUCCAGAGUUCCCAAGCUGCUUCUGUCCCUGCUAAUUUUACCACCUCUGACUCCUUUCUGGCUUUUUGAGACAUGUUUUCCAUAAGCAGAUCAGGAAUAUGGAGCCCUUUCCUGCCCCUCAUAUGAAUUAUUAUUGUUUAGAUUCUGGCAGAAUGCAGAGAUCUCCAUGAAGAUUGUGCCUGUGUUGCCUUCAGUGAAUAUUAUUCCUGCCUGACUGCUACGCGAUACUUAGAGGUCAAACACAUAAGCAUUUCUAAAAGGAGAUUUGACAAAUUCCUGCAGGAAGGGCCCAGCAGGAGCAGUCCUUCUGUGAGUCUGAAAGGUAUUUCAGUGGAGAGAGUGCUCUGCCUGGGCUGCUGUACUGUAUACACGCUGUCCAUAAGCACAGCAGGAGGCUUGCUGGGAAAACGGGAUAAUUGCUUUGAGGCACACCUUCUUAUCUCCAUCAGCAAAACGUGCCAACUCUGUUCAAGCCAAGGAAGGUGAGGAUGAGAUAAAGAUGGCUGACUGUGCCUGCAUGUGGAGGAGGGAGGUUCCUGCCAUCCCUCUCAGUGGCAGAUGCUGCCAGGGAUGAGCAGUGAUCCCAGACGGCGUUGGCAGGGAGCAUUCGUCUGUGGCCCAAGUAAGGCCUCACUACAUACCGAUUUAGACUGGUUUUAAUGCUACUUUUCCUACUUUUCUGCCAGCGGAAGGGGCUGCUGGAGGAGUUACUGAAUGUGCAAAUGGAUGAGACCAAACCCUCAGGGGUUUGUUAAUCACAGGUUAAUGAACAAUUCUAGGUAAGAUCUUGGCUCCACUGAAUCCAUUGGGUGUUUUGCCUUUGUUUCGGCUUUUAUACUCUUUGUGACAAAGCCUUUUCUGUCAGUCCAGAUAGUUCCUGGGUGCACAGUGGAGUGAACCGGGCUCUGACCUUGGGGAACCCAGUGCUGGCCCUGCUCCCAGAUAGCCUGUGUGCCUGCACAGGGAAGAAAACCUGUAGGAGCUGGAAGUCUCACAGAACAGACCUCUAGCCUCAUCCUGUUCUCCAGAGUUGGAAGCAUUUGCCUACUGAAGGGCAUUGUUGGAGAGAAUAAGAAAAGCUUAUGAAGCGAUUGGUGAUGCGAACAGCACUUUUGUGACAUGGUUAUUGGCUGAGCCUUUCUUUGUAUGCAGACACACAAAUACAAUUAGAAAAGGUCCCAGGGACCAACUCCAUUCGCCAUCCAACUCCAUUAAGAUUGUGAUAAUUAGGCAAAUACUACAUACACAUACUACGUAGGUUUGAUUUGGAUAACCAAUACACUAGAAGCCUUUUCUAGAACAUAAGGCAGCAUUUAGUUUUAAAAACCUUUUUGAAACGCAGUAAUGCAGACCAUUGUAAUGCACUCUAAUGCAAAGGAAUCAAUAGCUUUUACACCACAGCGAGUUUAUUGUACAUAGCAAAUGAAUAAUACAAAAUGCAGUGCACUUAAUGGCCCAAUAUUAGACUGCACAGUUUGUAUAAAUCAGAAUGCCUUUUGUGUUUCCUGAAAGACAGUACCACAAGUUGUACAGACAGAAAACUACUAUUUAUUCUUCAAACAAUUAAUUGGGUUUUUUCUUAAAUAAAAUAUUUGCCAUCGAUUUUCAUGUUUUUAUAAAGCAGCUGCCUCCUCAAACAUUUGCUGUGAACUAAGUUCCUAAGUGUGUUGCUAGAAUGAAAUGGAAUUGUUCAUACUGUAAAUGUGAAUUACAGGAAUUUCACUGGGGAAAGUUAACUCAGAUAUGUUUCAUAUUGCUGGUGCUGGUAAUAAUUCAUAUGUGCUAGAGUAAUAGCAAGAGUCUCCAAGUCAAACCAAGACCCUUGUGGGGGAGAAAGACAAAGAAAGUUCAUUUUUCUCCAGUUCUUCACUGUGCAUUUGUCCAUGUUAAAUCCUAUUUUCCUGAGGUUUCACCUCAAGUGGCAUCUUUGUUGUCAGAAUUUUAACUUGACUCUAGCAUGACAGGACAUUAUUUUGUACGUCUCUCUGCCCAGGAGGAAAGCAAAUUACCAUUCCCAAGAAGGAAACUCGAAGUGGAUGUUUAUUUGUCUUGUUAUCUGUGUAUCCUAUUUCUCUGAGUCACGAGGAGUAAACAACUGGAUUGGUGCUCUGUAAGUAGGUUGGGGAAGAAUUUGCCUGUGCUACAUAAUGUAUUUUUAGUUACUGCUGGAGU